RNAcentral lists this ribosomal RNA (460 nucleotides) under uncultured bacterium. RNAcentral describes it as "partial 16S ribosomal RNA". It matches the Rfam family "Bacterial small subunit ribosomal RNA", at positions 338 to 795 of the family's 1533-position model. The record is from RNAcentral.
CCUACGGGUGACAGCAGUGAGGAAUAUUGGUCAAUGGACGAGAGUCUGAACCAGCCAAGUAGCGUGAAGGAUGACUGCCCUAUGGGUUGUAAACUUCUUUUAUAAAGGAAUAAAACGAGGCACGUGUGCCUUUUUGCAUGUACUUUAUGAAUAAGGAUCGGCUAACUCCGUGCCAGCAGCCGCGGUAAUACGGAGGAUCCGAGCGUUAUCCGGAUUUAUUGGGUUUAAAGGGAGCGUAGAUGGGUUGUUAAGUCAGUUGUGAAAGUUUGCGGCUCAACCGUAAAAUUGCAAUUGAUACUGGCAGUCUAGAGUACAGUAGAGGUAGGCGGAAUUCGUGGUGUAGCGGUGAAAUGCUUAGAUAUCACGAAGAACCCCGAUUGUGAAGGCAGCUUACUAAACUGUGACUGACAUUGAUGCUCGAAAGUGUGGGUAUCAAACAGGAUUAGAUACCCCUGUAGUC